RNAcentral lists this unclassified non-coding RNA (261 nucleotides) under plant metagenome. RNAcentral describes it as "partial contains small subunit ribosomal RNA, internal transcribed spacer 1, and 5.8S ribosomal RNA". The record is from RNAcentral.
UCUCCGUUGGUGAACCAGCGGAGGGAUCAUUACCGAGUUUACAACUCCCAAACCCAAUGUGAACGUUACCAAACUGUUGCCUCGGCGGGAUCUCUGCCCCGGGUGCGUCGCAGCCCCGGACCAAAGCGCCCGCCGGAGGACCAACCAAAAACUCUUUUGUAUACCCCCUCGCGGGUUUUUUUAUAUCUGAGCCAUCUCGGCGCCUCUCGUAGGCGUUUCGAAAAUGAAUCAAAACUUUCAACAACGGAUCUCUUGGUUCUG